UACGGAGGGCGCGAGCGUUACCCGGAUUUACUGGGCGUAAAGGGCGUGUAGGCGGCCUGGGGCGUCCCAUGUGAAAGGCCACGGCUCAACCGUGGAGGAGCGUGGGAUACGCUCAGGCUAGAGGGUGGGAGAGGGUGGUGGAAUUCCCGGAGUAGCGGUGAAAUGCGCAGAUACCGGGAGGAACGCCGAUGGCGAAGGCAGCCACCUGGUCCACUUCUGACGCUGAGGCGCGAAAGCGUGGGGAGCAAAC
RNAcentral lists this ribosomal RNA (250 nucleotides) under uncultured Thermus sp. Its description in RNAcentral is "partial 16S ribosomal RNA". It matches the Rfam family "Bacterial small subunit ribosomal RNA", at positions 524 to 773 of the family's 1533-position model. The record is from RNAcentral. Lineage: Bacteria; Thermotogati; Deinococcota; Deinococci; Thermales; Thermaceae.